UUAAAUUGAAGAGUUUGAUCAUGGCUCAGAUUGAACGCUGGCGGCAGGCCUAACACAUGCAAGUCGAACGGUAACAGGAAGCAGCUUGCUGCUUCGCUGACGAGUGGCGGACGGGUGAGUAAUAU
RNAcentral lists this ribosomal RNA (125 nucleotides) under Salmonella enterica. RNAcentral's name for it is "partial 16S ribosomal RNA". It matches the Rfam family "Bacterial small subunit ribosomal RNA", at positions 1 to 116 of the family's 1533-position model. RNAcentral also lists the same sequence under 2 other names. The record is from RNAcentral. Lineage: Bacteria; Pseudomonadati; Pseudomonadota; Gammaproteobacteria; Enterobacterales; Enterobacteriaceae.